GAUCAUUAUUGAAUAUGAAUCGGUUCUGAUGCUGGCCUCUCGGGGCAUGUGCUCGUUCCGAAUCUAUUUAUCUUCUCUUGUGCACCUCUUGUAGUCUAUGGAAAGCAAGUGAACCCCUCGCAGCAAUGCGGUCUUGGGGUUUGGACGGCUCACGUAGUCCUUACCUCUGCCUUGCUCUGCUUUUCAUGGCUAUGUUUUCAUAUACCCUAUAUAAAGUUACAGAAUGUCUAUUUAACGAUUGUCGCUCGCGCGCAGUCAUUAAACCUAUACAACUUUCAGCAACGGAUCUCUUGGCUCUCCCAUCGAUGAAGAACGCAGCGAAAUGCGAUAAGUAAUGUGAAUUGCAGAAUUCAGUGAAUCAUCGAAUCUUUGAACGCACCUUGCGCCCUUUGGUAUUCCGAAGGGCAUGCCUGUUUGAGUGUCAUUAAAUUCUCAACCUUGCUCGCUUUUACCGGCUUGAGUGAGGCUUGGACUUGAGGGCUUUGCUGGCUUCCUUUAUUGGAUGGUCUGCUCCCUUUAAAUGCAUUAGUGGGAUCUCUUGUGGACCGUCACUUGGUGUGAUAAUUAUCUAUGCCUCGUCGACUUUGAAGCAAAACUUAUGGGAGCCCGCUCAUAACCGUCUCGCAAGGGACAACAUCUUUGACAUUUUGACCUCAAAUCAGGUAGGACUACCCGCUGAACUUAAGCAUAUCAAUAAGCGGAGGAAAAGAAACUAACAAGGAUUCCCCUAGUAACUGCGAGUGAAGCGGGAAAAGCUCAAAUUUAAAAUCUGGCGGUCCUCGUGGCCGUCCGAGUUGUAAUUUAGAGAAGUGUUAUCCGCGCUGGACCGUGUACAAGUCUCCUGGAAUGGAGCGUCAUAGAGGGUGAGAAUCCCGUCUUUGACACGGACUGCCAGGGCAUUGUGAUGCGCUCUCGAAGAGUCGAGUUGUUUGGGAAUGCAGCUCAAAAUGGGUGGUAAAUUCCAUCUAAAGCUAAAUAUUGGGGAGAGACCGAUAGCGAACAGGUACCGUGAGGGAAAGAUGAAAAGAACUUUGGAAAGAGAGUUAAACAGUACGUGAAAUUGCUGAAAGGGAAACGCUUGAAGUCAGUCGCGUCGUUCAGGACUCAGCCUUGCUUUUGCUUGGUGUAUUUCUUGUUCGACGGGUCAGCAUCAAUUUUGGUCGGUGGAUAAAGGCUUAGAGAAUGUGGCAUCUUCGGGUGUGUUAUAGCUCUGGGUCGCAUACAUCGGCUGGGAUUGAGGAACUCAGCACGCCGCAAGGCCGGGUACUUGUACCACGUU
RNAcentral lists this ribosomal RNA (1279 nucleotides) under uncultured fungus. Its description in RNAcentral is "eukaryotic LSU rRNA". The stretch from base 649 to 1279 matches the Rfam family "Eukaryotic large subunit ribosomal RNA", at positions 1 to 618 of the family's 3401-position model. Lineage: Eukaryota; Fungi. The record is from RNAcentral.